UCGUUAGCUCAGUCGGUAGAGCAGUUGACUUUUAAUCAAUUGGUCGCAGGUUCGAAUCCUGCACGAC
RNAcentral lists this transfer RNA (67 nucleotides) under Escherichia fergusonii. It matches the Rfam family "tRNA". From Rfam's summary of the family: Transfer RNA (tRNA) molecules are approximately 80 nucleotides in length. The record is from RNAcentral. RNAcentral also lists the same sequence under 7 other names. Lineage: Bacteria; Pseudomonadati; Pseudomonadota; Gammaproteobacteria; Enterobacterales; Enterobacteriaceae.